CAACCAUGCCUGCAUAUCAGGGCAGCAUUCUAUGAUCCCAUGGCUCUCACAUCGACAGACCACAACACUAAGCCAACAAUGAUACGGCGUCCACCAGCAGUUGUUUGCUACAUUUGUGGUCGUGAAUAUGGAACAAAAUCUAUUAGCAUUCAUGAGCCACAAUGUCUGAAAAAAUGGCAUAAUGAAAACAACUUGUUGCCUAAAGAGUUAAGGAGACCAGUACCUAAAAAACCAGAAGUCAGGACCAUUACUGACAAAUAAGAAAAACAGUUCUGAAAUGCCUGUCCAAAGAAUUAUCUUCUGAUGCUGAGACAUAAAGACACUAUGUCCUGGCAACACUGUGCAUGAGAGGGACCUAUGGGAAUUUGCUGUAUUCUCCAAAAGUUUCUUUCAUACAUCAUCAAACCCUUUGAAUGUAAAAUAAAUAAUAAAAUACUUAAAAAAUAAAAAUGAA
Molecule: long non-coding RNA, 454 nt
Filed under: Homo sapiens (human)
Lineage: Eukaryota; Metazoa; Chordata; Mammalia; Primates; Hominidae
Description: long non-coding RNA NONHSAT103469.2
Source: RNAcentral